Molecule: ribosomal RNA, 492 nt
Filed under: uncultured bacterium
Lineage: Bacteria
Description: partial 16S ribosomal RNA
Rfam family: Bacterial small subunit ribosomal RNA
Source: RNAcentral
AGUGAACGCUGGCGGUAGGCCUAACACAUGCAAGUCGAACGGCAGCACAGUAAGAGCUUGCUCUUACGGGUGGCGAGUGGCGGACGGGUGAGGAAUACAUCGGAAUCUACUUUUUCGUGGGGGAUAACGUAGGGAAACUUACGCUAAUACCGCAUACGACCUACGGGUGAAAGCAGUGGAUCUUCGGACCUUGCGCGAUUGAAUGAGCCGAUGUCGGAGUAGCUAGUUGGCGGGGUAAAGGCCCACCAAGGCGACGAUCCGUAGCUGGUCUGAGAGGAUGAUCAGCCACACUGGAACUGAGACACGGUCCAGAGUCCUACGGGAGGGAGCAGUGGGGAAUAUUGGACAAUGGGCGCAAGCCUGAUCCAGCCAUACCGCGUGGGUGAAGAAGGCCUUCGGGUUGUAAAGCCCUUUUGUUGGGAAAGAAAAGCAGCAGGUUAAUACCACGCUGUUCUGACGGUACUCAAAGAAUAAGCACCGGCUAACUUCGUG